Molecule: ribosomal RNA, 119 nt
Filed under: Triticum aestivum (bread wheat)
Lineage: Eukaryota; Viridiplantae; Streptophyta; Magnoliopsida; Poales; Poaceae
Source: RNAcentral
GGAUGCGAUCAUACCAGCACUAAAGCACCAGAUCCCAUCAGAACUCCGAAGUUAAGCGUGCUUGGGCGAGAGUAGUACUAGGAUGGGUGACCUCCUGGGAAGUCCUUGUGUUGCAUUCC